RNAcentral lists this ribosomal RNA (403 nucleotides) under Salmonella enterica subsp. enterica serovar Newport. RNAcentral's name for it is "partial 23S ribosomal RNA". It matches the Rfam family "Bacterial large subunit ribosomal RNA", at positions 911 to 1311 of the family's 2925-position model. The record is from RNAcentral. Lineage: Bacteria; Pseudomonadati; Pseudomonadota; Gammaproteobacteria; Enterobacterales; Enterobacteriaceae.
UGUUUCGGCUAGGGGGCCAUCCCGGCUUACCAACCCGAUGCAAACUGCGAAUACCGGAGAAUGUUAUCACGGGAGACACACGGCGGGUGCUAACGUCCGUCGUGAAGAGGGAAACAACCCAGACCGCCAGCUAAGGUCCCAAAGUCAUGGUUAAGUGGGAAACGAUGUGGGAAGGCCCAGACAGCCAGGAUGUUGGCUUAGAAGCAGCCAUCAUUUAAAGAAAGCGUAAUAGCUCACUGGUCGAGUCGGCCUGCGCGGAAGAUGUAACGGGGCUAAACCAUGCACCGAAGCUGCGGCAGCGACACUGUGUGUUGUUGGGUAGGGGAGCGUUCUGUAAGCCUGUGAAGGUGGCCUGUGAGGGUUGCUGGAGGUAUCAGAAGUGCGAAUGCUGACAUAAGUAACG